UUAACUGUGACAUUGGUAACUAUUAAACAAACAAAUUGGUUAUCUAACAACUAAUAUCAUUGGUUAAGAACAAAUUGGUUGAUUUAACAAAGAUAUUGGUUAACUUUAAUAACAGAUUGGUUGAAAAAUGACUAAUAUCAUUGGUUAAGCAAAUGUUAACUAAGAGAUUGGUAACUGACGCAGGUCUGACGCUCAACGUCAAGUACGUAACUCUGCUUCUCAAUUUUCUGACAAAGCCGCCAUCUUGGUGCUGCAGGAAAGCCGUUUGAGAUAUUGGUGGAAUUCAAACACUUUGUGAGAUGACAGAAUAUUGCUGAAGGAUCCUACAUGGAAGCUGGCUGAUUACACAGAGUGAUUCCUCUGGUGUGGUGUACCUCAGAGAAAUAAACACUGUUGCAAGAGCUGAGAAGAUGGCCAAGAUAUCCUUAUUGCUGGAUGGUAGCUCUGGUCGUAGUGGACCAUAUCUGCAAAUGCUUCUGAACAUUGACAGAAUUUCUAAAGAUGACUGAGAAUAUUACUGAAGGAUCCUACAUGGAAGCUGUCUGAUUACACUGAGUGAUUCCUCUGGUGUGGUGUACCUCAGAGAAAAUAAACACUGUUGCAAGAGCUGAGAAGAUAUCCUUAUUGCUGGAUGGUUGCUCUCUGGUCGUACUUGAGCCCCCUGGACCAUAUCUGCAAAUGCUUCUGAACAUUGACAGAAUUUCUAAAGGAUCGCUGAGGACUCCCCCUCCAUGCGUGACAUCUUUGAGAAAUUUCCACGCUUUCUGGAGAUGCCAAGUUUGACUGGAACCAACUUUGCAUCCCUCGGCACUGACACUGAGAAGGUUUCAAGGACCCCACUACUAGGAGGCGAGAGUUUGACACGGCAGUGUCAUCACUGCCAUGGAUGACAAUGUAACCAUUCCUGUUGCUGAUUGCCUGACUUGCGCAGUGACAAGCUUUUGAUGCUCUGCUGGGUGUGUAACUUGGCAUAUCCACCACAGUUUAACUCUGUUUUUGCCUCUUUUGAAUAUGUGUACGAUAUAACCAUCUCAACCAAAAAGUGGGCCAAGGUACUGGAACAUUUCUCACUUCAAGUUGCUCUGUAGUCACUGGACAUUUUUUAAAACAUCUACGCAAACACCACCACUCCACACCAUGUGUAUUUUAAUUACUUCUGAUUCCACUGACAUGCAGACUACAUCCUAUGCAGAUUCAGGUAAUUUACCUGGUACUGGAGAAACAGCAUUGUAUGCCAUUCUAAGUGAUACUUGCCUCCUUGUUUUGCAAAAAUGUACUGUUCUUUGAAUAUAACUUAAAGUAAGAUCAUGUUGACUCUGAGGUUUUCUCCGGUUGUCAAGCACAACCUUAACGUUUUGUAAGUAAGUAAUAGUCACAGGAUAUGCAUGCAUUUGUAAUUUGAAUUUUCGUCGAAAACGGCUCACCAAGCAUAAAAUGUUACCUCUGCUUUUGAUUUUUCUUUUUUUUUUUAAAUGUCCCUUAAUACCAGCCUGUCUUUUUGUUGUGUCCACACAACUUUACCAUCAUCAGUGUUGGGAAGGAACAGAUUGCUGUAAGUUACUGUAUCCCCAUCCUUUCAGAUCAGUGCUUUAAAGCCUUUUGAAAUUAAAUUGUUAAUAAACUUUGUGAAAACAAA
Long non-coding RNA from Engraulis encrasicolus (European anchovy), 1636 nucleotides. RefSeq lists it as uncharacterized. The transcript is spliced from 7 exons. The record is from RefSeq and is a predicted model, not a curated record. Lineage: Eukaryota; Metazoa; Chordata; Actinopteri; Clupeiformes; Engraulidae.